CAAAGAUGAAGAGUGACAUUUAUUUGUAUGGAAAAGUCCAUGUUCAGAUUCUGAAGAUUCUCGAAGGGAUUUGGAAGGAGAAGAAAGUCUUACAGACACUGUCAUUUUGGAGACUCAGUACCACAUGGCCACUGCUUCUCUUCUACUUUGGAAGGUGGAGUCGAUGCUGUGUCAGUGACAUACAGAUGACUAAGAUCAUAUUUAAAUGAGUUCCAUUGCUCCAGGAAGCACUGUCAACUAGAGUGCAGCCUACAACCAUUGGGCUGGUGGUCCUGAGUUCUAUGAGAAAGUACACUUAGCAAGUCGUGAGGAACAAGUCUCCAACCAGCGCCCUCAUGGCCUCGGCAUCAGCUCCUCAGCCCUUUUCUACUUGCUCUGAUGAACAGUGAUGUGGAAGUAAUAAACCCUUU
Molecule: long non-coding RNA, 410 nt
Organism: Apodemus sylvaticus (European woodmouse)
Lineage: Eukaryota; Metazoa; Chordata; Mammalia; Rodentia; Muridae
Exons: 3
Source: RefSeq, a predicted model, not a curated record